AUGGUUAUUUGUUCCUAUUUUCAAUUUGAGUGUUGUUGCUGUUAUUUUUUAUUGUUAGAGUCGUAUGAACCGAAAACCCCAUGGCUUUUCGGUGCUUGUUCAUCGAUUGAGAAAGAGAAUCAAGGUGUUAUUGUUAUUGUUCGAAAAUUUGAGAGAAUGAGGAAUCGUUUGUUGUUGUUCAGUGAGAAAGAUGAUGGUGAUGGAUCGUGA
Vicia faba (fava bean) is the source of this 210-nucleotide non-coding RNA. Lineage: Eukaryota; Viridiplantae; Streptophyta; Magnoliopsida; Fabales; Fabaceae. The record is from the annotation of a GenBank genome assembly.